This 427-nucleotide ribosomal RNA is filed under the name uncultured bacterium. Its description in RNAcentral is "partial 16S ribosomal RNA". It matches the Rfam family "Bacterial small subunit ribosomal RNA", at positions 355 to 774 of the family's 1533-position model. The record is from RNAcentral.
UGGGGAAUAUUGGACAAUGGGCGAAAGCCUGAUCCAGCCAUGCCGAGUGUGUGAAGAAGGUCUUCGGAUUGUAAAGCACUUUAAGUUGGGAGGAAGGGCAUUAACCUAAUACGUUAGUGUUUUGACGUUACCGACAGAAUAAGCACCGGCUAACUCUGUGCCAGCAGCCGCGGAAAUACAGAGGGUGCAAGCGUUAAUCGGAAUUACUGGGCGUAAAGCGCGCGUAGGUGGUUUGUUAAGUUGGAUGUGAAAUCCCCGGGCUCAACCUGGGAACUGCAUUCAAAACUGACUGACUAGAGUAUGGUAGAGGGUGGUGGAAUUUCCUGUGUAGCGGUGAAAUGCGUAGAUAUAGGAAGGAACACCAGUGGCGAAGGCGACCACCUGGACUAAUACUGACACUGAGGUGCGAAAGCGUGGGGAGCAAACA